RNAcentral lists this transfer RNA (76 nucleotides) under Bacillota bacterium. Its description in RNAcentral is "tRNA-Thr". It matches the Rfam family "tRNA". From Rfam's summary of the family: Transfer RNA (tRNA) molecules are approximately 80 nucleotides in length. Their secondary structure includes four short double-helical elements and three loops (D, anti-codon, and T loops). RNAcentral also lists the same sequence under 1 other name. Lineage: Bacteria; Bacillati; Bacillota. The record is from RNAcentral.
GCUAGCGUGGCUCAGUCGGUAGAGCACGUCACUCGUAAUGACGGGGUCGGGGGUUCGAUUCCCCCCGCUAGCUCCA